GGUUCAGUGGUGUAGUGGUAUCACACCUGUCUUACAUUGGAAUGAGCACAGAUGGUCGUCGGUUCGAUCCCGGCCUGAACCA
This 82-nucleotide transfer RNA is filed under the name Grifola frondosa (maitake). It matches the Rfam family "tRNA". From Rfam's summary of the family: Transfer RNA (tRNA) molecules are approximately 80 nucleotides in length. Their secondary structure includes four short double-helical elements and three loops (D, anti-codon, and T loops). Further hydrogen bonds mediate the characteristic L-shaped molecular structure. tRNAs have two regions of fundamental functional importance: the anti-codon, which is responsible for specific mRNA codon recognition, and the 3' end, to which the tRNAs corresponding amino acid is attached (by aminoacyl-tRNA synthetases). tRNAs cope with the degeneracy of the genetic code in two manners: having more than one tRNA (with a specific anti-codon) for a particular amino acid; and 'wobble' base-pairing, i.e. permitting non-standard base-pairing at the 3rd anti-codon position. Lineage: Eukaryota; Fungi; Basidiomycota; Agaricomycetes; Polyporales; Grifolaceae. The record is from Rfam by way of RNAcentral.